CAAUAGCGUAUAUUAAAGUUGUUGCAGUUAAAAAGCUCGUAGUCGGACUUCUGGCUGUGCAGGGCGGUCCGCCGCAAGGUGUGCACUGCUCUUCGCAGCCAUCCUCUCGAGGACCCUUGGUGCUCUUCACUGAGUGCUCUGGGGACUCGGGACCUUUACUUUGAAAAAAUUAGAGUGUUCAAAGCAGGCCUUUUCGCUUGAAUACAUUAGCAUGGAAUAAUAGAAUAGGACUUUGGUUCUAUUUUGUUGGUUUCUAGGACCGAAGUAAUGAUUAAUAGGGAUAGUUGGGGGCAUUAGUAUUUAAUUGUCAGAGGUGAAAUUCUUGGAUUUAUGAAAGACUAACAUCUGCGAAAGCAUUUGCCAAGGAUGUUUUCAUUGA
Molecule: ribosomal RNA, 379 nt
Filed under: uncultured eukaryote
Lineage: Eukaryota
Description: partial 18S ribosomal RNA
Rfam family: Eukaryotic small subunit ribosomal RNA
Source: RNAcentral